Molecule: non-coding RNA, 3762 nt
Organism: Oryctolagus cuniculus (rabbit)
Lineage: Eukaryota; Metazoa; Chordata; Mammalia; Lagomorpha; Leporidae
Source: RefSeq, a predicted model, not a curated record
AUUUUUAAAAAGUCUAAAAAUGUAUUUAUUUAGCAUACAUGUUCCUAUAUAAGUCACUGGGAAGGUUUUGAGGAUAAUUUAAUUCAAGUUAUCAAAGUUAUUUUACUGUAAUGAAGAUCAGGUGAUGUAUUGGCAAAUGGAAACAUUCUAGUAGGAGUAAAGAAUCAUUUCUGCUCUGAACAUGCUGGGAUAAUUACUUCAAUGGACCAAUCUUGGAAAUACAUAAUAAUAAAAAAGAGCCAAAAAUCUUUUGCAAAAUCUUUGUAUUUUCAUUUUUCUAACAGCCUAAUGGUUGUGCUUUCACUUAAUGGUUAGUUCUGUUUCUCUAAGGUGUGUAGCUUUAAUGCAAAAGUUGGGAUUAAGAUCUAGCCCAUCAAAUUACAUUUGUACUAUGGUGCAGUAGUUUCUGUCAUAAUAGAACAGCCAUUGCAGUACAUGAAUGCCGGUGUUUCUGUAGGAGCAUAUUUGCAUGUUCCUGCGGCUGCAUUAUCUUUCUCUAUUUUUGUGUUGGGCCUCUUUAGAUUGGUGCCACUCACACCAUAACUACCUUUUCUGGAAUGAGAAGGUAAGCAAACUUGCUAUACAUCACCUCUGUCCAUGGCUACCUCGUCUGUCUCAGAGAGUGACUGACAUAGAGGUAUCAGUGAGCGUGGGCUGUGUAGUCACAGUAAGGCACUACCUCGUCUGUCUCAGAGAGUGACUGACAUAGAGGUAUCAGUGAGCGUGGGCUGUGUAGUCACAGUAAGGCACUACCUCGUCUGUCUCAGUGACUGACAUAGAGGUAUCAGUGAGCGUGGGCUGUGUAGUCACAGUAAGGCACUACCUCGUCUGUCUCAGAGAGUGACUGACAUAGAGGUAUCAGUGAGCACGGGCUGUGUAGUCACAGUAAGGCACUACCUCGUCUGUCUCAAUGACUGACAUAGAGGUAUCAGUGAGCACGGGCUGCUUGUUCCCCGUAAGGCACUUUGCUUCAGCCCAGUCUCUGGGCUUUCCUUGCUGCUGUCAGGGACAUGAGUUUCAAUGACAGCGUGGAAUCUCAUUGUGCCAUGUCCUCAGCAUGUUUUAGAUCCCAUUCAGACAUGAGUGUCUCUUCCCUUUUCUAUUAUUUUGGCCUCUGGAUGACUAUGUGUAAGUCAAGUUCCCACAGAAUACAUGGGAGAGGAAAUCUAAAUUCCAGGAGGGAAUAUGAAGAGAUGCUUAGAGCCAAGACUUUGGACAGGGACUCCUGAUAGUCUUUGUACUGGGAGACAAAGGGCCACACAGCAGAACACACUAGGGUUCUUCGAUGCUUUUGAGAAUUUUAAAAAGUACUUCAACCAGAAGUGUUACCUAUAUACAGUGGAUGGUUUAGACUGUUACCGUUUAUAGAUACAGAAUUAUGUGUUCAAACAAACAAAAAACUGACUUUUUGUAUCCAUGGGCUCAACACCUGUGUGUGUAAACAAUCAUGGUUCAAAAAUAUUCAGAAAAAUACUGCAUCUGUACUGAAUAUGCACAGACUCUCUCAUUAUUCCCUAAACAAUACAGGAUAUAACUAUUUACAAAGCUAUUACAUCGUGGUAGGUAUCAUAAACACUCCAGAUAUGACAAGGUAUGCAGAAAGUUGUGCAUAAUAUAUAUGCAAAUUACAGCAUGACGUACAAGGGUCUUGAGCAUUCGUUUGGAUAUCCUUGGGGAGUUCUGGACUCAAUCUUCCAUAGGUACAGAGAAACAACUGUAAACACAGUCCCAAGAAAUAACACCACUUGUCUUCAGUCAGAGCGUAAUGAGGACGAAAGCUACACAGGGCAUGGAGAUCAUGUGGAGAGUUUUACUGACACCUGUCUGCUGAUCAGUUGCUCACAUGUUUCCGUCCAGCCCUACCAUCUCCUGAGUGCCCUAAAUAUAUCCACACCGGCUUCCAGUGUAUUUCUGUGCAGAUAGCCAACGGAGGUCCACUAGAACUGCAAUUCAGUUUUUCUCCAUAACUUUAUUUCAUUCAGUCUUCCAAAUUUUCUCCCAUGGCCAUAUUCUGGUGGAGGAAAGUGCUGAUAUUUUCCUUCUGAAAUUACUCUUUGCAUUCAUAGUGCCUAAGCCUGACUCAGCCUUUCGGUGCUUGCCCAUCUGGUGAUAUCCUGCUCAUCGUUCCGGUUUCCUCUCAAAAUUCCCUGUCGCGUUGGAGCCCUUCUCGAUGUCAUCAGACAGAAUUGGUUGUGUUAUUCCCUAUACGCUACUAACACUUCUGAUUAAAGCACCCAUUUUAUGAUACUUGAUUCCGGUAUUUGUCUUCUACCUAUCUCCUUCCACACUAGGUUUUUAUAAUUUUUAGGAAGGGACAAUUUUCCAUUCAUUUUUCCUAGUGGUCAGAAAAGUAGAAAAAUAGGUUCUGUAUUGUGAACUUAACCUCUCUUCACUCUUCCUUCUGUCUUUGCUUAUCUACCUCUCCGUAUGUAUGUGGCUCUCUCCCUCUAUAAAUCUAUCAUUCAUCUAUAUCUCAUUUUCAACUUAUCUAUCUUGAUCUAUGUCUCUGUCUCCACACGAAGAGACAAAGACAGAUAAAUAGGUGUGGGCAUUGUGGAGUGGUGCUUUGGACCACUGCUAGGACAGCCACAUUGCCUAUCAGAGUGCCAGUUCAAGUCCCAGCUACUCUACUUCUGAUCCAGCUUCCUGCUAGUGUAGCUGGGAGACAGAACAUGAUGGCCCAAUUGCUUGGGUCCCUGCCACCCAUGUGAGUGACCCAGAUGGAAUUCCUGUCUCCUGGCUUCAGUCUGGCCCCAUCCUGGCUGUUGUGGGCAUUUGGGGAAUGCUCCAGUAAAUGGAAGAUAUCUCUCUCCUUCUCCCUCUCUCCUUCUCUCUCUCUGUCACACUAUCUUUCAAAGAAAUAAUUAUUUCUUAUAAAAAUACAGAUAUAUACAUUUAAAUUAUUUAUUUAAGUAAGGCAGACUGACAGAGAGAGGAAGGGACAGACAGAAAGAGAUCUUCCAUCUGCAGGUUUACUUCUCAAAUGGCCACAAUAGCCAGGGUUAGUCUAGUCUGGAUCAGGAACUCCAUCCAGGUCUCCUCCACAAUUUUCAGGGUCUUAAGGACCUGGCUCACUCUCUUCUGCUUUCCCAGGCACAUUAACAGGGAGCUGAAUUGGAAGUGGAGAGGUCAUGACUCAAACUGGCCCACUGAUAUGGGAUGCAGGCAUUGCAAGCAGUGACUUAGCCCACUGCACCACAACAGUGGUCCUAGAUACAUAUCUUUAUAUCAAGAUAUACAUUAUAGAGAGACAGAUAUAGCUAUAUAGAGAUAUAUAAGUAUAUAUGAUAAAUAAAUAUGAGUGUAUAUAUGUGUAGGGUGUGUAUAAUUUCUAAACCGACUUUGUGAAUGAAUGAAGCUUCGCAAGACCCCAACAAAGUUCCAUGUCAAUCAAUUGUAAUGAUGGCAGCAGCUUCUUUGGAUGCUUGAUGGUUUGUGAAUGGGCAUGUUGGGCGAGAAGAGCCACCUGGUGGGGAAACAGGGCUUGGGACACAUUUAUGCAUGGAGAAGAGGGGGCUGUGCUUCACUGUGUUCACACUAGCGGCACAGAGAUAGAGAGCCCUCUGGUUCUCGUGGGUCGAUGUCACAGCAAGAGUAAAGGAUGUCUUCCUCUCAUGGAGGGCACUGUAGCCUUCAGCCAGGUCUCCUUUUUGAACAUCUUUGACAGUUUGUGAGUAGUAGAUGAGUUUCAGUCCCUGCCCUGGGUCCUGUCGAUACCAAUACAUGACAUCGUGAUUCAAAUUCUGUUCACAUUCCAAGGUU